RNAcentral lists this long non-coding RNA (649 nucleotides) under Gossypium barbadense (sea-island cotton). RNAcentral's name for it is "long non-coding RNA (GBAR_LNC017223)". The record is from RNAcentral. Lineage: Eukaryota; Viridiplantae; Streptophyta; Magnoliopsida; Malvales; Malvaceae.
AAGCAAAAUAUGAGGUUUGCAGUAGCAGCUAAAGCUGCCUUGCUCCUGCACCUUUCCCUUUUCGUACUGAGUAGCUUCACGGUGUCCUCUCAGAUCUUGCCUGAGGCUUUGCCUCCUCAUUACCAUGGAAUUUCGCCUGUAGUGCCACCUGCUCACCCACCAAGCCACCACCAUCACCAUCACCAUCCCCAUCCGCAUCCCCACCCGCCAACCCCUUCCCCUACUAAGCCCCCAACUCACCCGCCUGUUUACCCCCCGCCCAAAGCACCCAAGAUUGCUCCAGUUUAUCCACCACCCAAGUCACCAAGCAAGCCGCCAACUUACGCUCCUCCACCCAAGUCACCCAGCAAGCCGCCAAGUUACGCUCCUCCACCCAAGUCACCCAGCAAGCCGCCAACUUACGCUCCUCCGACCAAGCCACCAACUUACGCCCCUCCACCCAAGCCACCAGUUUAUCCUCCAACUAAGCCACCGACUGCGCCCCCGACUAAGCCACCAGUGCACCCACCAACAUAUCCUCCACCAUCGCCUUCUCCACCUAAGCCGCCAACUUAUCCUAAACCACAAAGGAGCCUAGUGGCUGUUCAGGGCGUUGUUUUUUGCAAGUCAUGCAAAUACGCUGGAUCUGACACCCUGUUGGGAGCGACGC